Molecule: long non-coding RNA, 1318 nt
Filed under: Gossypium barbadense (sea-island cotton)
Lineage: Eukaryota; Viridiplantae; Streptophyta; Magnoliopsida; Malvales; Malvaceae
Description: long non-coding RNA (GBAR_LNC019660)
Source: RNAcentral
CUAAAUUAAAAUGGAUUAAUAAAAUUACCAAAAGCCCAAAGUUAUGGGCUUGAAGAAUAGGCCCUUUUCCCUUUCUUUUUUUUUGCUUCUGAUUGGGCCUUAGUGGGCUGCUAAGGACUGGGCCGAAUCUGCUGGGCUGCUGGCACCGGUCUUCUGGGCUGCUGGAAGCGUGGGCCUGCUGCUGGAUUGGGCUGAACAGGCCUGCUGUGGCCUGCUUCUUUUCUUCUUCUUUUUUUCUGCUGUUAUUUUUCUGUUUUGUUUUUUUUGGGCUGCUUUGGGCUUGGGACUGCUGCUACUGGGUCGGGUCGGUUCACCGGGUCGUGGGUCGGGUCGCGGGUUGAAUCCGUGUCGGGUCGACCCGAUAUAUAUUAUUAUUUUUUAUUUUUCUUUAUCUUUUUUUUCCUUCUUUCUUCUCUGUUUCUUCUUUCUUUCUUCUUUUCUUUUUUUCUUUCUUCACCGUUCAGCCCCGACGGUGCACCCCCCAGCCUGGCGCGGCGGUCAGCGGUGGCGCACGGUGAAGCUCUCCUCUUCUCUUCUCUUUUUCUUCUUUGCUUGUUUUUUUUUCUUUUUGCUUGCUGUUUUUUUCUUUGACUUUGCUUUUUUUAUUUAUUUAUUGGCUUUCUUUGUCUUUGGUGGAUGGGGGAACGACGGCCGGUGGUGAGGGACGGCGGUGGACGCGGAGGCGUGGGGCUUUUUGCUGCUGUUUUUUUGCUUGAUUUUGUUGUUUUUUUUUUUUGCUUUCCUUGGCUGCCGAAAAUCGAACCCCCCCUCUCUUCCUCUCAUCUUCUUCUUUUAAAUCCUUCAAUUUUGUCGUUUUCCUUCUUGUUUUCAGGUGGCAUGGAGGUGGGGAGCAUGGAUGAUUGGCGGUGUCAGGCGUAGGGUGCGGUGCACGCCCGGAUGCUGGUUGGGGGCAGUCUUGUCAUGCCCAGAAGGACUGAAUUGUAGAGUAUGCAAAGUUUUGGGGUAAAAACGUAAUUUUAGGAAAUAUGGGGCUAAUAUGUAAUUUAUAGAAAGUUUAGGGGCCCAAAUGAAAUUUAGAAAAUUUUAGGAGUAGAAAUGUAAUUUUGAGAAAGUUUAAGGGUUGAAAUGUAAUUUUGAAAAGUUCAGGGGUUGAGAUGUAAUUUAGAAAAGUUCAGGGGCCAAAAUGUAAUUUAUAUUUUUGUAUUUUUCCAAAAUUUCAUUAUGACUAUUUUAUUAAUAUUUAAAACAAAAAUUUAAAAUGGGCUAAAACAAUUCCAAAAUUAAAUCUUAAUGGGCCCGAUCAUUGGGCCCAUACGAGAUCAACCCGGCUCAAAACCCUAAUCGGGCAAAAUUCAGU